This 397-nucleotide ribosomal RNA is filed under the name uncultured bacterium. Its description in RNAcentral is "partial 16S ribosomal RNA". It matches the Rfam family "Bacterial small subunit ribosomal RNA", at positions 523 to 918 of the family's 1533-position model. The record is from RNAcentral.
AUACGUAGGUGACAAGCGUUAUCCGGAAUGAUUGGGCGUAAAGGGCGCGUAGGCGGCCCGGUAAGUCUGGAGUGAAAGUCCUGCUUUUAAGGUGGGAAUUGCUUUGGAUACUGUCGGGCUUGAGUGCAGGAGAGGUAAGUGGAAUUCCCAGUGUAGCGGUGAAAUGCGUAGAGAUUGGGAGGAACACCAGUGGCGAAGGCGACUUACUGGACUGUAACUGACGCUGAGGCGCGAAAGUGUGGGGAGCAAACAGGAUUAGAUACCCUGGUAGUCCACACUGUAAACGAUGGAUGCUAGGUGUAGGGGGUAUCGACCCCUUCUGUGCCGCAGUUAACACAAUAAGCAUUCCGCCUGGGGAGUACGGCCGCAAGGUUGAAACUCAAAUGAAUUGGCGGGG